UGGCCUCCCAAAGUUCUGGGAUUAGAGGGAUGAGCCACUGCGCUCGGUCUAUUUUGACAGUUAUUUUAUCUCAGCAGUUUAAAUAUAUCAUGCUAAUGUAUCUGGUAUUUAUUGUUGGCCCAGAAAUUAUUCCUUUGCAGGUGGUGCAAAGGAUCAGCAUGGGAGUUUUGACCUGCUCCGUUUCCGACCUGGGUCGGUUCACCCCUCCUUAGGCAACCUGGCAGUUCCCUGCUCCAGGGAGGUCACCCUCUUGAUGCUGAAUUUAGCACGGACACCUGAUGGGCACAGUGCACUGCAGCCCAGAGCUCCCGGGCUCAAGCCAUCCUCCUGCCUCAGCCUCCAAGUAGCCAGGACCAUAGGCACGCACCCUGAGUACAGUCUUCCCAGCAAGAAGAACAUGAGUAUUCCCUCCAUCUGGGUCAAGAUUAGAGGCUGCUUUGAAGGAGCAAGGAAAAAU
RNAcentral lists this long non-coding RNA (457 nucleotides) under Pan troglodytes (chimpanzee). RNAcentral's name for it is "long non-coding RNA NONPTRT016330". The record is from RNAcentral. Lineage: Eukaryota; Metazoa; Chordata; Mammalia; Primates; Hominidae.